RNAcentral lists this unclassified non-coding RNA (298 nucleotides) under plant metagenome. Its description in RNAcentral is "partial contains small subunit ribosomal RNA, internal transcribed spacer 1, and 5.8S ribosomal RNA". The record is from RNAcentral.
UUUCCGUAGGUGAACCUGCGGAAGGAUCAUUAUCGAAUUUCGAGGGGAAGGAAGAUGAGGAGUGGAGACUGUCGCUGCUUUCCCGCCUGGGAAGCAUGUGCACGCCUUGCGUUUCGUUGACCUUUCUCUUACUCUCACACCUGUGCACCCAUUGUAGGUCCUCGAAAGAGGAUCUAUGUUUUUAUCAUCACACGCAUCGUAUGUCCAUAGAAUGUAACAUGAUCGUCGAUCGACCUCGCGGUCGGGUGGCGGUCUAAAUAAAUAAAUACAACUUUCAGCAACGGAUCUCUUGGCUCUC